CACGUAGUUAGCCGUCCCUUUCUGGUAGGCUACCGUCACAGUGUGAACUUUCCACUCUCACACCCGUUCUUGACUUACAACAGAGCUUUACGAUCCGAAAACCUUCUUCACUCACGCGGCGUUGCUCGGUCAGGGUUGCCCCCAUUGCCGAAGAUUCCCUACUGCUGCCUCCCGUAGGAGUCUGGGCCGUGUCUCAGUCCCAGUGUGGCCGAUCACCCUCUCAGGUCGGCUAUGUAUCGUCGCCUAGGUGAGCCAUUACCUCACCUACUAGCUAAUACAACGCAGGUCCAUCUUGUAGUGGAGCAAUUGCCCCUUUCAAAUAAAUGACAUGUGUCAUCCAUUGUUAUGCGGUAUUAGCUAUCGUUUCCAAUAGUUAUCCCCCGCUACAAGGCAGGUUACCUACGCGUUACUCACCCGUUCGCAACUCAUCCAAGAAGAGCAAGCUCCUCUCUUCAGCGUUCUACUUGCAUGUAUUAGGCACGCCGCCAGCGUUCGU
Molecule: ribosomal RNA, 496 nt
Filed under: uncultured Streptococcus sp.
Lineage: Bacteria; Bacillati; Bacillota; Bacilli; Lactobacillales; Streptococcaceae
Description: partial 16S ribosomal RNA
Source: RNAcentral